UAUCCAAAUGUCCACAAAAAUCCAUUAAUACAAAUUAUGAUAACUUCACUGAUCAGGAAUAUAUUUAGCAUUGUCUCAACACAUAUUUGAAAAGACACAUCCCCUCAGUCUCAGUAGGUUACCUUUGUAAUCUUCCCUAAUGCCAGCAAUGGAUCUACGAACCAACCUGCAGGCAACAUGCAAGAGCUCUUUCAAUCCAUCAAGAACUUCAAAAGAUAGAAACAUACUCAUUAAAAUGAAAUUAUAUGAGGAAAUACAGGUCUUUUAGUCCAAUUUUUCAGCCAAAGCUCAAAAUAUUACAAGCUAUCACAAAUUUACAACACAAAAUAUCUGUUGUAGACAGCUUGAUACAUCCAGUUGAAAAGAUAUAUAGGCACGAAAGUCCAGCCCCAAUUUCGUUAAGCUGUUUUAGUCUUUGUAAUAACAUUCUUUAUUCUUAAAUGGAACUUACCCAAAAUUUUUAACUUUCCUGUUGACAAACAGAGGCUUAUCCAUAAAGGAUGCAGCAAAGAAAGGGUAUCUGCUUGCCAAAAUUACAAAAAGUGACUAAACUAAUUGGCUCCACACCUAACCAAAAUAUCUCAAAUCUCUUUUUGAAACGAAGGAGAGACAUAAAGAUUCGAUGUACGUAAAUUAGAAAACAGACCUGUCUAAAAUCUUGACAAUAUACAAGCCAACAAUAGUAUUUGGGUACAUAAAAAUAGCAAACACAAAAUAAGCUAUUCACAAACAUAGAUCUCUCAGCGGCAACUCAUAUCCAACAAUCAUAGUUCAGUACCAGCAAUUGGCCAGAACAGAGAAAUACUAAUAACAGAGAACUCAGGUCUGAGAACUAAAAAGUGUUAAUACCACUAGUUACAAUUGGCCAAAACUCUAAAUAGGAAAUUAAAGGUAAAUUACCUCAAACAUCUCCGAAGUCAAGAAAUAAGCAACACAAUCUCUUGUUUAUCCUUCAAUUUCUGAAAAAAAAAAUAAAAUAAAAAAAUUAAGAAAUAGUAAGACCGAAUUUAAAUAUUAUGUGUGAUAAUUUUAUUUUUUUGUUACCUUUUCCCUUUUCUGCACUCUGUGUAACUUACGACACCAAUCUCCAGCACACAUCAACAUUUCUACAGUUUCUGGAGCCAAGGAAGCACGGUAAGAGUCGAUUACUCUGGUUCCAGUACUAAAUGUAGCUUCUGAAGCUACAGUGCUUAUUGGAAUGGCUAAAAUGUCAGCAGCCAUCUUGGGAAGAAUCUUGUAUUUCGUUGUGUCUUUCCACCACUUCAAGGCAUCCAAAUUCACAAUGUCUAUUGUUGAAUCAUCUGCAGCUGUGAGGAGACCAUCUUCAAAGUAGGUAUCCAACUCAUUCUUGAUGGGUUGAACACUCUCAAUGGUAGCAAUAUAGGUCAGAAAUUCACUCAUACCCGAAACAUGGGACACUGAUGAAGAUGCACUACUGCUGCUCUUGGUUGGAUGAUCAUUGUCGAUUAGUAGUUGAGAAGAUGAUCCACUUUGGCCUGAAACAGGUAUCUCCACAUAUUCAUCAUAUAGGUCAUACAAGGCUUGUCGAACCUUGCCUAUAUUGCUUUGCACUUCAUGUGGAGGAUAAAGCAAUGGAAAGCAAUAGUUUAUAACUCUCAUCUUGCAUCUGGGAUCCAAAAUAACUGCUAUAGACAUUAACAAGUUACACUCUCCCCAGUACUUAUCAAAUUUCAUCUUCAUCUUUUGCACCAUUGACCGGACAAAAUCAUCUUCAUCAUCAACCUUACUAUCUAGUAGUACUUUAAUCCGACAAACUUCAUUUAGAUAUAAAUUUGCAGUCGGAUAAUCACUACCAGAUAUCACAUGAGUUGCUGUCCAAAAAGCUUUUAAAAUAUUGCACACUUUUGUAACCUUUUCCCAAUCUUCCAAGGUUGGACAGAAAUCAUAAUUUGGCUCUCUAUCUCUGUACCUGGGAAAAACAUCUUGAUACUCCAGUGCACAAGUUAGCAUCUCAUAAGUAGAAUUCCACCUUGUUUUGCAGUCAUAAAUUAGUAUUUUUUCUGGCAACUGCAGCUGGCGUACAAUUUCACCAAAUUGAAGGCGUCUUCCAUCUGUCUUAUUGAUAAACUCCACACUGUCCCUGAUUGUUCCAACUAUUUCCUUGAUUUGACUAAGUCCAUCUUGAACCAUUAAAUUCAGUAUAUGCGCACAACAUCUCACAUGAAACAACUUUCCUUUUGCUAAUAGACACUUGUUUCGAGAGAAAGUGUCCUUCAAACAUCUCAGUGCACUGUCAUUAUUUGAGGCAUUAUCGACUGAGACUGUAUAAAUCUUGCUCUCAAUUCCCCAAUUCGUUAAACACUUGAAAAUAGCAUCCGCAAUUUGGAUGCCCCGACAUGGAGGAAGGACGUGCACAAAGUUGAGAACCCGUUUCUGCAAUCUCUAAUUGCUAUCAAUCCAAUGCCCGGUUAUGACCAUAUACUCAUUUUUUGGUUCUUGGACUUCCAAAGAUCUGUAGUCAAGCUAAUUUUCUUGACUUUCUUUAAUUGGUUCUUCAAUUUUGUCUUCUCUCUUUCAUAAACUGAUGUGCAGUCGUUUUUGUUCAUAGUCCGAUUGAUUCUUUGCCAUUCCGGCAUCCCUCUUUUUUGCAUCAAAUUGAAACCUUCUUCCUUCACAAUUGAAAAUGGAUGCUCAUGCAUAAGCACCCAUUCAGCAGUAGCCUCUCUCAUGGCUGCCAUAUCAAACCUCCCAGAGUGAAGGUAGGUUUGAGAAGCUUCGGCAGAAUCAGCAGAUGGGAAAUUGAUCUUUGUUUGUUGUGUUGCUUUUUUGAGCUUUUGCAAUCGGAUAGCACAUGACUUCCUAUGCUUCAGCAAACUUGAAGUUGUACUAGUUUUCGUCUUCUUGAACUUUGCAUGGCAAUGAAUACACUCCGACAUAAGAGUUUUUUGAUGGCCAACUUCAACAUCUUUGAAGUCAUCCCAUGCUACUGAUUUUUUUAUUCUCUUUUUUUUUUUCUGAAAAGCAUCCAAGCCAUCAUCCGCAUCAGCUUCUUCCACGACUGUUUGAGUGGUUGUAUGUGUAUCACCUUCUAAUGUUUCAUCUUCACUCCCUAAUUCUUCAUCACCAAGAGAUAAUUCCAGCUCUUCGUCAAUGUUAACAGCAAUACCCUUGUCAGAGAUAUUCACCGGACUAGCGGAAUCACCAACUGAUCUAUCAAUUGGUGAAGACUACUCUUGGUUGGACGUAUCCAUCUUAUAUUCUCAAUUUCUUUUAACUAUACCAAAAAAAAAAAGGAACAUGAGCAGCAUUCUCUAGUCCCAAAACAGAUUACUAUUACUAGUAAACAAGUUAGUAGCAGUAAUUAUUUUCAAGAAACAAUAGGACAGCAAGGCUCAUAAUGACAAGAACAUACAUGACCAUGGAAUGAUAAUAAGUAGCUUGUACUGUCAAGUGUCAACACAGUUUUCACCCCCAAAGAAACAAGUAAUUAAACAGAUGUCUCCUUAAAUGCCACUAUCCCAUAGUUACUACAAGAUCUGGAGCAAUAUCAAGCCUCUUAGCACUGUCUGCAUUUCAUUUUAAGCAUUAUUAUUAUCAGAAUCCAAAAAAUUAUACUCCCUCCGUCCCAAAAUAAGGGACGUUUUUAGGGAUUCUAACUUAUUAUGCACAGUUCAAUCAAUUUGAAUGUGAGACAUUUUUUUCCAAUCGUGCCCCUUUGACCGAUAUCAAAUCUUAAUUGUUGUCUAUGGUGAUGUGAAAAGAAUCUGUGGGUCCAUGUAAAAUGUAAGCUCUUUUUCAUGCUGUUGCCAAGCACGCGCCUAUUUAUGGCCAUCAAAAUUUUUGGUGCUAUCCACGCACCUUUUUUUUGGAUGUCUAUUUAUUGCUUUUGUGGGUUCCAUCAUACUUGUUUUUUAUUUUAUCAAUGUCUCUUUUGAGGCUACAAAUGGAAUGUUAGAGAAAAAAUUGUAGUGUGGCUCAAAUUUUGGGACAUGAAAAAAGGUGAACUAUGAUAAUAACAAUGGGACGGAGGGAGUACAAUUUUAAGCAUUAUUAUUAGCAAAACAUGGGACAUCACAAAUUUGGAACCAAUCUAGGCAUAAUUAUUAUAGACAGUGUAGAAAUCAUAAGUGCCAGAGCUCAUGGUAGAGAAACAAGUGCAGAAAUCCAGACCCUUCAACAUGAUCGUGAGUCGUGACCAAGUCUAUUCAAAGUUUGCUAGAUCAAUUUCAAACAUAAUAACCACCACAAAUCCCGUUACAACCAAUGCAGAAGUAGAUAGACAGUAAAAAGGAUAAAAGACAAUACACCACUACUGGAACAACGGGGCGAUUAAGAGUAAAACCAUCAAUCGAAUGCAUCUAUGGAAACCUUUUUACAGAAUUAGCAAUGUGGAUCACCUUCCAGAUUCCAAAGAAAAGGAAAAGGAAAAGGAAAAGGAAAAGAACCUCAGUUCAUACCUGCAAAAUCUAGGGAGAAAAUCCAGUGGACUGCACUAAGAAUGUUGGACACGGUAGGGAGUGGUGGAGAUGGCCUCA
This 4496-nucleotide long non-coding RNA is filed under the name Coffea arabica (coffee). RNAcentral's name for it is "long non-coding RNA (CARA_LNC005035)". Lineage: Eukaryota; Viridiplantae; Streptophyta; Magnoliopsida; Gentianales; Rubiaceae. The record is from RNAcentral.